This is a long non-coding RNA of Serinus canaria (Common canary), 401 nucleotides long. RefSeq lists it as uncharacterized. The transcript has 2 exons. The record is from RefSeq and is a predicted model, not a curated record. Lineage: Eukaryota; Metazoa; Chordata; Aves; Passeriformes; Fringillidae.
CAAGCUUAACUGGACAUCUACAAAGGCUGCAGCUGCUAAGAGAGACCACAAAGGUGACUGAGGGGUGAAGAGCAACGUCCGCCACUCUCGUGCCUUGCUUCUGUUGUUGCUGCUGUAGUGUUGGCUGUGGAUGUCUUGCUGAUCUCCUUCCUCUUGGUGACUCACCCAGAGGACUGAUGAACAGCCUAAGUUCUUGUGAAUCAACAAACCAAGGAUCUGCAGACUGAGCUAAGCCUACUAAAAUCUGAGCAGCCUGAACCACAGUAAAAUAGUUUGUAGAGAUAUCACCAAGAUGCCUUUGGGAAGCAACAGUUGCAUUUGGUUAUGCACAAGGAAAAAGGUUCUAGCUUGUUUUGGUGUGUUGUGCUAAAAGCAAAUAAAAAUUUUGGUGAGCUGCAGAA